Electrophorus electricus (electric eel) is the source of this 91-nucleotide small nucleolar RNA. NCBI's taxonomy places the organism in Eukaryota, Metazoa, Chordata, Actinopteri, Gymnotiformes, Gymnotidae. The record is from Ensembl.
UGUGCUGUUGUCAAUGAUGCAUCUGUCUGUCCGACUGUAGUAUGAGGCAACUAAGCAGUUAAUUCGUCACUACCACUGAGACAACAGCUGU